CUACGUAUGUCGCAAGCGUUAUCCGGAAUUAUUGGGCGUCAAGCGAGUCUAGGCGGCUUGUUAAGUCAGAUGUGAAAAUGCGGGGCUCAACUCCGUAUUGCGUUUGAAACUGGCAGGCUAGAGUACUGGAGAGGUGGGCGGAACUACAAGUGUAGAGGUGAAAUUCGUAGAUAUUUGUAGGAAUGCCGAUAGUGAAGACAGCUCACUGGACAGAUACUGACGCUAAAGCUCGAAAGCGUGGGGAGCGAACAGGAUUAGAAACCCCAGUAGUCC
This 273-nucleotide ribosomal RNA is filed under the name uncultured bacterium. RNAcentral's name for it is "partial 16S ribosomal RNA". It matches the Rfam family "Bacterial small subunit ribosomal RNA", at positions 523 to 796 of the family's 1533-position model. The record is from RNAcentral.